AGAGUUUGAUCAUGGCUCAGGACGAACGCUGGCGGCGUGCUUCACACAUGCAAGUCGAACGGGGAUGCAGCAAAAGCUUGCUUUUAUUGCAUCCUAGUGGCGGACGGGUGAGUAACACGUGAGCAACCUGCCCGACAUACUGGGAUAACAGCGGGAAACCGUUGCUAAUACCGGAUACUCCAUUUCUGGCGCAUGUCAGAGAUGGGAAAGGGUUUACCGAUGUCGGAUGGGCUCGCGUCCCAUUAGCUGGUUGGUGAGGUAACGGCUCACCAAGGCUGCGAUGGGUAGCUGGUCUGAGAGGACGAUCAGCCACACUGGAACUGAGACACGGUCCAGACUCCUACGGGAGGCAGCAGUGGGGAAUAUUGCACAAUGGGCGAAAGCCUGAUGCAGCGACGCCGCGUGGAGGAUGAAGGCCUUCGGGUCGUAAACUCCUGUCUGGGGGGAUGAACACUGACAGUACCCCCGGAGGAAGCCCCGGCUAACUACGUGCCAGCAGCCGCGGUAAU
Molecule: ribosomal RNA, 509 nt
Filed under: uncultured bacterium
Lineage: Bacteria
Description: bacterial SSU rRNA
Rfam family: Bacterial small subunit ribosomal RNA
Source: RNAcentral